Molecule: ribosomal RNA, 388 nt
Filed under: Gephyrocapsa cf. oceanica
Lineage: Eukaryota; Haptophyta; Isochrysidales; Noelaerhabdaceae
Description: partial small subunit ribosomal RNA
Rfam family: Eukaryotic small subunit ribosomal RNA
Source: RNAcentral
AUUCCAGCUCCAAUAGCGUAUAUUAAAGUUGUUGCAGUUAAAACGCUCGUAGUCGGAUUUCGGGGCGGGCCGACCGGUCUGCCGAUGGGUAUGCACUGGCCGGCGCGUCCUUCCACCCGGAGACCGCGCCUACUCUUAACUGAGCGGGCGCGGGAGACGGGUCUUUUACUUUGAAAAAAUCAGAGUGUUUCAAGCAGGCAGUCGCUCUUGCAUGGAUUAGCAUGGGAUAAUGAAAUAGGACUCUGGUGCUAUUUUGUUGGUUUCUAGUACUGAAGUAAUGAUUGAUAGGGACAGUUGGGGGCAUUCGUAUUCCAUUGUCAGAGGUGAAAUUCUUGGAUUUAUGGAAGACGAACUACUGCAAAAGCAUUUACCAAGGAUGUUUUCAUUA